AUACGGAGGGAGCGAGCGUUAAUCGGAAUUACUGGGCGUAAAGCGCGCGUCGGCGGCUUUGUAAGUCGGAUGUGAAAGCCCAGGGCUCAACCCUGGAAUUGCAUUCGAUACUGCAUGGCUAGAGUAUGGUAGAGGGAAGUGGAAUUUCCGGUGUAGCGGUGAAAUGCGUAGAUAUCGGAAGGAACACCAGUGGCGAAGGCGACUUCCUGGGCCAAUACUGACGCUGAGGUGCGAAAGCGUGGGGAGCAAACAGGAUUAGAAACCCCUGUAGUCC
RNAcentral lists this ribosomal RNA (274 nucleotides) under uncultured bacterium. Its description in RNAcentral is "partial 16S ribosomal RNA". It matches the Rfam family "Bacterial small subunit ribosomal RNA", at positions 523 to 796 of the family's 1533-position model. The record is from RNAcentral.